CCUACGGGAGGCAGCAGUGAGGAAUCUUGCUCAAUGGCCGGAAGGCUGAACCAGCCAUGCCGCGUGAAGGUCAGUGCCCUAUGGGCGUUAAAAUUCUUUUGUGCGGGAGCCAUAAUGGUCACGUGUGGCCAGACGAGAGUACCGUACGAAUAUGCAUCGGCUAACUCCGUGCCAGAAGCCGCGGUCAUACGGGGGAUGCAAGCGUUAUCCGGAUUGAUUGGGUUUAAAGGGUGCGUAGGCUGUGAGGUAAGUCAGCGGUAAAAGUGCGGGGCUAAACCUCGUCGAGCCGUUGAAACUGGCAGACUUGAGUUGGCGAGAAGGACGCGGAAUGCGCGGUGGAGCGGUGAAAUGCAUAGAUAUCGCGCAGAACUCCGAUGGCGAAGGCAGCGUACCGGCGCCAGACUGACGCUGAGGCACGAAAGCGUGGGGAUCGAACAGGAUUAGAUACCCGUGUAGUC
RNAcentral lists this ribosomal RNA (458 nucleotides) under uncultured bacterium. RNAcentral describes it as "partial 16S ribosomal RNA". It matches the Rfam family "Bacterial small subunit ribosomal RNA", at positions 338 to 795 of the family's 1533-position model. The record is from RNAcentral.